This 253-nucleotide ribosomal RNA is filed under the name uncultured bacterium. RNAcentral's name for it is "partial 16S ribosomal RNA". It matches the Rfam family "Bacterial small subunit ribosomal RNA", at positions 524 to 776 of the family's 1533-position model. The record is from RNAcentral.
UACAGAGGUCCCAAGCGUUGUUCGGAUUCACUGGGCGUAAAGGGUGCGCAGGUGGGUUUGCAAGUUCGAUGUGAAAGCCCCGGGCUUAACCCGGGAAUGGCAUUGGAUACUGCAGAUCUGGAGGAUCGGAGGGGGGACUGGAAUUCUUGGUGUAGCAGUGAAAUGCGUAGAGAUGCGGAGGAACACCGAUGGCGAAGGCAGCCCCCUGGGCUAGCACUGACGCUCAGGCACGAAAGCGUGGGGAGCAAACAGG